UGUUCAUGAUGACAUAUGUAUUUGCUAUCUGAGUACUGAAGACACCUUUUACCACCAAGAUCUCUGAAACA
Small nucleolar RNA from Cryptotermes secundus, 71 nucleotides. RefSeq annotates it as small nucleolar RNA SNORD24. The transcript has a single exon. The record is from RefSeq and is a predicted model, not a curated record. NCBI's taxonomy places the organism in Eukaryota, Metazoa, Arthropoda, Insecta, Blattodea, Kalotermitidae.